RNAcentral lists this ribosomal RNA (301 nucleotides) under uncultured bacterium. Its description in RNAcentral is "partial 16S ribosomal RNA". It matches the Rfam family "Bacterial small subunit ribosomal RNA", at positions 509 to 807 of the family's 1533-position model. The record is from RNAcentral.
CAGUCGCCACGGGAAUACGAAGGGUGCAAGCGUUACUCGGAAUUACUGGGCGUAAAGGGUGCGUAGGCGGUUUGAUAAGUCUUGUGUGAAAUCUCUGGGCUCAACCCAGAGUCUGCACAGGAAACUGUCGGGCUUGAGAGUGGGAGAGGUGAGUGGAAUUUCCGGUGUAGCGGUGAAAUGCGUAGAUACCGGAAGGAACACCUGUGGCGAAAGCGGCUCACUGGAUCAUUUCUGACGCUGAUGCACGAAAGCUAGGGGUGCAAACAGGAUUAGAGACCCGUGUAGUCCCUGUCUCUUAUAC